This 569-nucleotide ribosomal RNA is filed under the name uncultured Alphaproteobacteria bacterium. Its description in RNAcentral is "bacterial SSU rRNA". It matches the Rfam family "Bacterial small subunit ribosomal RNA", at positions 38 to 651 of the family's 1533-position model. The record is from RNAcentral. Lineage: Bacteria; Pseudomonadati; Pseudomonadota; Alphaproteobacteria.
GGCGGCAGGCCUCAAACAUGCAAGUCUAGGGGGUGUAGCAAUACAUCACCGGCGGACGGGUGCGUAACACGUGGGAAUAUACCUUUUGGUUCGGAACAACGCAGGGAAACUUGCGCUAAUACCGAAUGUGCCCUUACGGGGAAAGAUUUAUCGCCAAAGGAUUAGCCCGCGUAGGAUUAGCUAGUUGGUGAGGUAAUGGCUCACCAAGGCUCCGAUCCUUAGCUGUUCUGAGAGGAAGAUCAGCCACACUGGGACUGAGACACGGCCCAGACUCCUACGGGAGGCAGCAGUUGGGAAUCUUGGACAAUGGGGGAAACCCUGAUCCAGCCAUGCCGCGUGAGUGAUGAAGGCCUUCGGGUUGUAAAACUCUUUCGACGGGGACGAUAAUGACGGUACCCGUAGAAGAAGCUCCGGCUAACUUCGUGCCAGCAGCCGCGGUAAUACGAAGGGGGCUAGCGUUGUUCGGAAUUACUGGGCGUAAAGCGCGCGCAGGCGGUCUUCCAAGUCAGUGGUGAAAGCCCGGAGCUCAACUCCGGAACUGCCAUUGAAACUGUGAGACUUGAGGACGA